CCUACGGGGGGCAGCAGUGGGGAAUAUUGGACAAUGGGCGGAAGCCUGAUCCAGCAACGCCGCGUGGGGGAUGACGGCCUUCGGGUUGUAAACCUCUUUCGGUUCCGACGAAGCUGUGCCCUUUGGUGGGUGUGGUGACGGUAGGUUCAGAAGAAGCACCGGCCAACUACGUGCCAGCAGCCGCGGUAAUACGUAGGGUGCGAGCGUUGUCCGGAAUUAUUGGGCGUAAAGGGCUCGUAGGCGGUUUGUCGCGUCGGGAGUGAAAACAUCGGGCU
This 275-nucleotide ribosomal RNA is filed under the name uncultured bacterium. RNAcentral describes it as "partial 16S ribosomal RNA". It matches the Rfam family "Bacterial small subunit ribosomal RNA", at positions 338 to 609 of the family's 1533-position model. The record is from RNAcentral.